CCCCGUACACAAAAAUGCACAUGCUGUGAGCUCGAUGAGUAGGGCGGGACACGUGGUAUCCUGUCUGAAUAUGGGGGGACCAUCCUCCAAGGCUAAAUACUCCUGACUGACCGAUAGUGAACCAGUACCGUGAGGGAAAGGCGAAAAGAACCCCGGCGAGGGGAGUGAAAAAGAACCUGAAACCGUGUACGUACAAGCAGUGGGAGCACGCUUCGGCGUGUGACUGCGUACCUUUUGUAUAAUGGGUCAGCGACUUAUAUUCUGUAGCAAGGUUAACCGAAUAGGGGAGCCGAAGGGAAACCGAGUCUUAACUGGGCGUUAAGUUGCAGGGUAUAGACCCGAAACCCGGUGAUCUAGCCAUGGGCAGGUUGAAGGUUGGGUAACACUAACUGGAGGACCGAACCGACUAAUGUUGAAAAAUUAGCGGAUGACUUGUGGCUGGGGGUGAAAGGCCAAUCAAACCGGGAGAUAGCUGGUUCUCCCCGAAAGCUAUUUAGGUAGCGCCUCGUGAAUUCAUCUCCGGGGGUAGAGCACUGUUUCGGCAAGGGGGUCAUCCCGACUUACCAACCCGAUGCAAACUGCGAAUACCGGAGAAUGUUAUCACGGGAGACACACGGCGGGUGCUAACGUCCGUCGUGAAGAGGGAAACAACCCAGACCGCCAGCUAAGGUCCCAAAGUCAUGGUUAAGUGGGAAACGAUGUGGGAAGGCCCAGACAGCCAGGAUGUUGGCUUAGAAGCAGCCAUCAUUUAAAGAAAGCGUAAUAGCUCACUGGUCGAGUCGGCCUGCGCGGAAGAUGUAACGGGGCUAAACCAUGCACCGAAGCUGCGGCAGCGACGCUGAUGCGUUGUUGGGUAGGGGAGCGUUCUGUAAGCCUGUGAAGGUGUGCUGUGAGGCAUGCUGGAGGUAUCAGAAGUGCGAAUGCUGACAUAAGUAACGAUAAAGCGGGUGAAAAGCCCGCUCGCCGGAAGACCAAGGGUUCCUGUCCAACGUUAAUCGGGGCAGGGUGAGUCGACCCCUAAGGCGAGGCCGAAAGGCGUAGUCGAUGGGAAACAGGUUAAUAUUCCUGUACUUGGUGUUACUGCGAAGGGGGGACGGAGAAGGCUAUGUUGGCCGGGCGACGGUUGUCCCGGUUUAAGCGUGUAGGCUGGUUUUCCAGGCAAAUCCGGAAAAUCAAGGCUGAGGCGUGAUGACGAGGCACUACGGUGCUGAAGCAACAAAUGCCCUGCUUCCAGGAAAAGCCUCUAAGCAUCAGGUAACAUCAAAUCGUACCCCAAACCGACACAGGUGGUCAGGUAGAGAAUACCAAGGCGCUUGAGAGAACUCGGGUGAAGGAACUAGGCAAAAUGGUGCCGUAACUUCGGGAGAAGG
This 1370-nucleotide ribosomal RNA is filed under the name Escherichia coli. Its description in RNAcentral is "partial 23S ribosomal RNA". It matches the Rfam family "Bacterial large subunit ribosomal RNA", at positions 371 to 1746 of the family's 2925-position model. The record is from RNAcentral. Lineage: Bacteria; Pseudomonadati; Pseudomonadota; Gammaproteobacteria; Enterobacterales; Enterobacteriaceae.